This 540-nucleotide ribosomal RNA is filed under the name uncultured bacterium. RNAcentral's name for it is "bacterial SSU rRNA". It matches the Rfam family "Bacterial small subunit ribosomal RNA", at positions 29 to 565 of the family's 1533-position model. The record is from RNAcentral.
AUGAACGCUAGCGGCAGGCCUAACACAUGCAAGUCGAGGGGUAACAGGGAGCUUGCUCCGCUGACGACCGGCGCACGGGUGCGUAACACGUAUGCAAUCUGCCUUGAGCAGGGGGAUAACCCGGAGAAAUCCGGCCUAAUACCCCAUGGCGCGUUCUGGCGGCAUCGCCGGAACGCUAAAGAUUUAUCGGCUCAAGAUGAGCAUGCGUCCUAUUAGCUAGAUGGCGGGGUAACGGCCCACCAUGGCGACGAUAGGUAGGGGUUCUGAGAGGAAGGUCCCCCACACUGGUACUGAGACACGGACCAGACUCCUACGGGAGGCAGCAGUGAGGAAUAUUGGUCAAUGGGCGCAAGCCUGAACCAGCCAUGCCGCGUGCAGAAUGACGGCCCUACGGGUUGUAAACUGCUUUUGUACGGGGGCAAACCCUACCUUGCGAGGUAGGUUGAGAGUACCGUACGAAUAAGGAUCGGGCUAACUCCGUGCCAGCAGCCGCGGUAAUACGGAGGAUCCGAGCGUUAUCCGGAUUCAUUGGGUUUAAAG